AACGCUUUUAACCACAGUAAUACAUGACCAUUGUUAGACUCAAAUUGUCGUUGUUUAAUGAACACAAAAAUUUAAAAGCUCAACAGUCCGCCCAUUAAUUUACCUUCCUAUUAUCAUCUUUUAUCGUCCAUAUCAUCAUCGUCCUCCUCUCCUCUUCAUCAUCACUUUAUUCAUCCUUUUUUUUCUCCUUCCUCGUCAUUCCCUGAUUUUGUCUCUCUAUUAUUAAUACUUUACAAGUGACUCUGUUUAGAUUUUUAUAAUCACAGUUUUGCUACUGUAAUUAUAAGUGUCGAUUUACUGUUUAAUUCUGAUUUUUAAUUCUCUACACAAUAAUGUGAUAAGUAUACAGUUUAAAUAUUGUGAUUAAAUUAAUAUUUGUGACAAUGAAAUACACAGCGAAUGUGCUAUUUAUCAAUUUUAUUGCGUGAAAAUAGUAACAUUGCUUUAACUCCGGUUAUUCCCUUUGUUUUACUGUUUGUUGGCGCGUCUUUUUAACUGUUUAUUUGUUGUGUUUUGUGCCUGUUAUCUUAAUUUCUGAUUUUAUUGGAUUAUUACAAUUGAUUUUACAUUAUCAUGCUGAUUCAACAUCGAUCAGUGCCUGAUAGAGGAAUGUUUAUUUCAUCAUCUACUUCUUCUCAUUACCAUUCAUUCCCUAAGCAUAAAAAGAAAAGCCAUUCCAAUGGGUUCUAUGCUAAUCAAUGUCGUUUUUAUUGCUGUACUUAUUAUCAUCGUAAACAUUCACCUUUAUCGUCUCUAUCAUCUUACAAAAAACCUAAAGAAUACUCACUCUGUUUGUUUAUCAUGAUGAUCCUGUUUAUACAAUUGCUUUCAAUGGUUGGUACAAUAUCGGCUGACAAUUGUUUUGGUGGUAUCCAAUCGUUUGAAAAGCUGGCUAUGACUGACUUUGAUGAUGAAUAUAGUCCAGCCGGAUUUUUAUUGAGACAACCCGAUCAAGCUUUGACUCGAGAUUGUAUCAAUUUAUGCCGUCAACAACCAACCUGUCUCUCAUUUGGUCUAGAUUAUACAAGGUUUAGGUGUGCUGCUUACGCUGUUCACUCACAAGGUCUCAAUCGAAGAGCCAAUCUGGUUCCAUCCAAUACAACCAAUUUAUUUGAAAAGGUUUGCUACCUAGGAGUUCACCGGGAAGAGUAUCAAAAGGUUUGCGGAGUUGAAAGAUUGUGGGCAUUUGAGAGGGUCAAAGGUGCCUUUUUGGAAGGUUUUGUGGAGACAACACUAUCCAAUAUUGGAUCUAAAGAUGAAUGUGCCAAAUCAUGUAUGAUGGAAGCCUCAUUUACCUGCCGUAGUGCUGAUUAUGAUCAUGAUAAUCGAGUCUGUCGAUUGUCAAAAGAGGAUAGGCGAACUCAACCACAAGCAUUCAGAUUAGUGUUUGGAUCAGCUCGAGAUUACCUUGAAAAUCAAUGUGCAGCUCCAGGUCCAACUGCAUGUUUAUAUGAUACCAAGCCAAAUGUCGCUGUUAUUACAAUGGAUUCAUUAGUUUUUGCGCACAACAUUGAAGAUUGUGAACACAAAUGUGAUAAAGAGUAUACUUUCAAUUGUCGCUCCUUUUCGAUUGAUUCACAGCGUUGUUUCCUCUCAGGAGAUGAUUCCGUUUCCCUUUCACAUGCCUCUCUACCCGUUAAACACGGUGCCAUGUAUGGAGAGAAAAAAUGUGUCACUGAAACUUGUACUCAUGGUAUUUUUACCUAUGAAAAGGUUACUGGAAUGGUUUUACGGUCAGCUUUGGCAACUUCAGUUCCAAUGCCUCAUACAGCUUCCCUUGGAGUCACUGGUACUUGUCGUGAUGAGUGUGAUAAAUCAAAUUUAAAUUGUCCAGCCUUUUCCGUCUCUUAUUUAAACUCUCGGUGUGAUCUUUUGGAUCGCAACUCUCAAGGACAAUUUGGUGAUUUUGUACCCCGUGAAGGGGAAUCUUAUUUUGAAAAGAUUUGCCUUCGAGGUCCUGAGGUUGCAACAAUGUGUCAAGACAAAUUUUGGGCCUUUGAACGUGUUAUUGGCUAUGAAUUGACUCCUCUACUCUACGAACGGGUUUACCAUUUUGUACAAUCUCGCCGUUACUGUGAGGAAUAUUGUCUACAAGAAAAGCUGUUUGUUUGUCGCUCAGCACUUUACAAUGAUGAAACAACGGAAUGUAAAUUGUCGCGGGAAGAUAGGCGAACUAAACCAGCCAAUUAUAUACGCAAUCAAAAUCCGAAAAUAAAUUACCUUGAAAAUCAGUGUAUCCGUUCUCAUUCACAGUGCCCUUAUGAAAACACACCAAGUGCUUAUCCAACUUAUACCGAUAUUGUUGAAUCUCGAGAUGUCAAUUCAAGAUCUGUAUGUGAACAAUUGUGCUCAGAAAAUAAGCAAUUUAUUUGCCGUUCAUAUGCUUUCUAUUCGUCUAAUAAUAAAUGUCUAUUGUCUGGAGACGAUCGAGCUUCUGGUGGAUCUUCAGCGGUUACACUACAAUCUGGAAUGACUUACUAUGAACGUCGAUGUGCCAAAACUCCUAAUGAUCAUUAUCCAACCACUGAAGAUGAUGACAAUUCAAUAACAAGUCAUCUGAGCACAGUUCCAGGAACUGCAAGUGUCGACGAUCAAAAUAAAGCUACUACUCAUGUAACACCUAAACCAACUUCUCCUUCAACCUCUAACUUACCCGAUGAAAACACAUCAGGUAGACCAACUGUUCCAGGUUAUAGUGAUUCAACCUCAUCCACUGAUACAACAUCAACAUCAACGACUAAUGGCAAUACAAAUAGCGAUCAUACAGAUCACACGUCUUCGCCUACCGCAACUCAUAAUCAACCCAAUACCUCUGACUAUCCAAGCCCAACUAAUCCAACAGUUGACCCAUCCACCAUAACCGGACCAUUUAGUCCAACAACUUCAACUUCAUCAUCAACAAAUGGCUCAUCAACAGCUAGUUCAUCAAGUAAAGAUGGAUCCUCUUCAACAAAUGCAAGCUUUGCCAAUACAACAUCGCCAUCGCCAGCACCAAAUAAUCUUAAAUGUGGACCGAAUGGGAGAUUUACCUUCGAACGUAUUCCAGGCUUUGAACCAGUUGGUGGUUUUUUCAGUCUUUUAUACUCGGAUAAAUCUAAUCCAGGAAUAGUAACUGAGUGUUCACGUCGAUGUGAACAUAACAUUGGAUGUACAGCAUUUAUUAUGGAUUACACUCGACGUUCCUGUUUUGGACUAUUUGAAAAUGCAUCAAUCGGACGACUAGACCUUCGAAUUUCUCCAGGUCGUGAUUAUUUUGAAGGAUUUUGUGUGGCUUCCCAUUUAACGUGCCCCAAAUUAUGGACAUUUGAUCGUAUUGUCGAUCAAGCAUCUAUUGGUGUUCAACCUAAAUCAAUAAUACGCUAUCUUCAUAAACCCGAUUGUCGUCUUCGCUGUUUAGAGGAGCGCAGAUUUAAUUGUAUGUCAGCUAGUUAUGAUGCGACUCUUCGUGAGUGUAAAUUGUUUGAUCAAGAUCGUAACUCGGGUCCAUUGAGAUUGGUUUUCACCAAAGGAACGGAUUACAUUGAAAAUCAAUGUAACAUUGAUGUGUCUUCAUGCAGAUUUCAUCCAAUUGAACGAGAUAUAACAAUAGUUGCAGUUACUAAAGCUUUAAAGGGUUCAUCAACCUUCUUCUGUGAACAAGAGUGCAAUAGACAAAAAGAGUUUAAUUGUCGAUCAUACACUUAUCUUGAUCAGACAAAUAUUCCUGGAGGUAAUUUAUGUUUACUCAGCUCUGAUAGCAGAGGAACCAGUCAAAAAGAAGCAAUGGGAUUCCGUCCAAGAGCUUUGUAUGCUGAAAAAGAUUGCCGUGGCUUUCGAAAGGGUCGAGUAUCUUCAACUCCUGAAACAACAGAUAAACCUCAACAAUCGACUCAGCAACUUCCACCUCCCUCUCAACCUUCUUUCCCACCUCCACCAAUCUCGUUUCCACCUCAACCUUUAUCACCUCCAAUUGAUUUAACAACCAUGAUUACCAAAAGUCCAGCUGAAACAAUUAUUCCUCCAAGAAAAUGUUCAACCUUUGACUUUACAUAUGAAAAAACGUAUGGAUUUGAUUUGAGGUUUGCUCGUCGGGAAAGAUCAAGAGUUCCUCCUAGUUUGGGAAUAACCACAGCAUGUCAAGAUGAAUGUACUCGUCGUGGACAUAGGUGUCGAGCUUUCUCAAUUGAAUACGGUCCUAACCAACAUUGUUUCCUUCUGGAAGAUUCAGCUGGUGAAAAUCAUUUGGCUCUCUCAAAGAUUCCUAAUAUUGCUUACUUUGAAAAAAUUUGUUUAAAAGCAAAACCUUGUGGACGUCUUUGGUCUUUUGAACGCAUCAUUGGUUAUCAAUUAACUGAUUUACCUGACCGUGAGAUACAUAAUGUUGAUUUACGAUCAGAUUGUCAAGAUCAUUGUUUAGCUGAAUCUACCUUUGUUUGUCGAUCAGCAACCUUUGAUUAUUCUCGGAAAAUCUGUAAAUUAUUUAAGGAAACUCAGCGAUCCCGUCCAAGUGCCUUCAAAGCAACAUCCGAAGAGAUUGAUUAUCUUGAAAAUCAUUGUGUUAAAGAACCAUCAAGCUGCCAAUACAAAGACUUCACAGAUACAUUUUCUGGUAACAUUGAUAGAGUAACUCAUGCAUUUUCAUUAACCGAUUGUCAACGUCAAUGUGAUACUGAACGCUUGUUUCCCUGUCGAGCACUCAAUUAUGAAUCUUAUUCUCGUGAAUGUUUACUAUCAAGUUAUGACAUUGCCUCAAUCGGUUUAGGACAGAAAGCCUUACAAUUAAGACGACACUCAAUUUACAGUGAAAAAGGAAACUGUGAACAAGUUACUGUCCAAUGUAAUCCUCAAGAUAUGGUUUUAACCUUAAAUUUUGAUACACCCUUUAUGGGUCGAGUAUAUGCCAAAGGAAAUCCUGCUCAAUGUUUUGAGGUUGGAACAGGACAAACCCGGAUGCAAUUUUCAAUAUCAUUUGGAACUCGAUGUGGAACUCGACAAGAGGGCCUAAAAAAUUUUGUCAAUGAAAUUGUGGUUCAACAACAUGCUGUCAUAAUGACUGACAGUGAUCGUACAAUUAAAGUAAUGUGUUCACUUAAUGCCAUUGACCAGACGGUUACACUUCACUCAGCUAAUCAAGGGCGAUCAGGAAUUGAUGUUACUUCACUAAAAACUGGUAAAAGUGCUCUUGAAAGGCCAAUACCAUCGGUUGUUACCAAUACUGCAGCACCUCCAACUGUGGUAAUGAGGAUUCUUGAUCGAACUGAUCGCGAUGCAACCCUAGUUUCAUUGGGUGACGAAUUAACCAUGAAAAUUGAAAUAUUGGAUAUAACAUCAGCAUUUGCAAUUUCAGCUCGUAAUCUUUAUGCAAGAAGCUCAAGUGGAGAGUCUUUAUAUCUUAUUGAUGCAAAUGGUUGUCCAACUGAUGCAUCAAUCUUUCCAAGUUUACGGCUUGAUCCUAAUGAUGGCAAAUCAUUAAGAUCAACAUUCAAAGCUUUCCGUUUUCCUUCAACUGGUGUUGUUAAUUUUGAAGUUCAAAUACGCUUUUGUCCAGACAAAUGUUUUCCUGUUAAAUGUCCCGAAUCACUUGAAUCUUUUGGUCGCAGGAAACGAUCAAGUUUAGGCAAAAAUUCUGAUGGUGAUGAUAUAGUUGAUGAUGAAGAUGAGCUUGAAGGUAAAACGAUUCGAACCUUAGGUGAACCAACUAGUACAAUAGCUACGGACUUUAAAUUGGCCGAUUUAUUGAAUAAAAAUCGCAGCGCUCUUCACCAUAGAUCUGAAGGUUAUACUUAUAAUGUUCCUGAGUCAGAGGCUAAUAAAGGUUACAACUAUGAAGUAUCUCUUCAUUCAACCACAAUGGUUCCACAUUUACCGGCACCGCUUGAGCUUGUUGGAACAACAAAUAGUUUCAAUAAAUCUUAUCAAUUCUCAAAUGAUUAUAAACCUGCUAUAAAUCGAAUGGGUUCAAGUUAUCAUUCACCUCCAUCAGCUUUGACUAGCAGUUAUCAAUACAAUCCAUACUCGUCUUAUAAUCAACCUGAUUCAGGAUAUAAUUAUGGUCAAACUGGCUAUGGUUAUGGUCAUCAUUCAAAUACACCAAUGAAUCAAUAUCCAAGUUUUAGUGGAUAUGGAAGUAAUCAACCUAACAGUUAUGUAAAUAAUUAUCAGAAUUAUGAAAAUUCGUAUCAACAUUCACAGCCAAAUGGUUAUAAUAACAAUAACAAUAACCAACAGCAAAAUAACAAUGCAAACAAUGAAAAUUUUCAACCAAUGGAUCAUUAUCGUCCUUCAGCUGCUUCAUCAUCAUCACCAUCAUCAGCUCAAUCAUCGACCUCUUAUGGGUCUGGUACAAGAGUAGCAUCUUCAAACAAAUUACCUUCAUCUUCUGUAUCAUCAUUUUCCUCGGAAAGCAACAAUAACUAUCCAAGAGAAUUACCUUCAAGUCCGUCAACUAUCAACAUCAUUGGUACUCGCAUUAAUCCAUCGGGUGGAGUUAACAAAGGUUUACCAGAUAAAGAUGAAAAUUUUGCCUCAACAAACCGACCUCGACCCUCAACAGACAGGGAAGAAGUUCAAACCACCAAGACCAUUGCCCAGGCCAAAAGGUAUGCCUGUUAAUCCAAUGGUUAUUAACUCUCCUCCAGAAGUCGAUUCCCCUGAGGUUCCUCUUUCUUUAGCUAUCGUAGUUGGUGACAAAGAGAAGAAUAAGGAUAAGAAUAAAUGGGAAUCUUGAGACAAAGGAUAAACUUCAGCCAUCAUCAUCUGAAAUUAUUGGCAUCCCAUGUAACACUGGACCUGCUAUUUUAUACACUGCUAUAAUUGUUACUCUGGCUCAUUGUCUUGUUGUUGUUUGUGGCUAUUUUUACUAUAGAAAGUAUGUUUAUUACACUGGAGGAUCUAAAUUGUUUACAUUGGCAGGAAGAACCGUUUCGACUGAAAAUAUAACCACAAUCACACGUAAUCCAAGAGCAACCAAUUCAAAUGUAUUCUUUGGUUCUCCAGGUUUAAUAUCUGAUCGACCAACUCCAUCUUCAUCGUCUUCAUCUUCAUCAAGUGUCACCAAUGUUGGCUUCCGAUCAUUAUAUU
Non-coding RNA from Tetranychus urticae (two-spotted spider mite), 7059 nucleotides. Lineage: Eukaryota; Metazoa; Arthropoda; Arachnida; Trombidiformes; Tetranychidae. The record is from RefSeq and is a predicted model, not a curated record.